GAUGAAGAACGUAGCGAAAUGCGAUAAGUAAUGUGAAUUGCAGAAUUCAGUGAAUCAUCGAAUCUUUGAACGCACCUUGCACCCUUUGGCAUUCCGAAGGGUAUGCUCGUUUGAGUGUCAUUGUACUCUCACACUCCCAAUUGCUUUGGAUUGGGAGCGGUGGACUUGGGUGUUGCUGCUUGACUGAGGCUCACCUGAAAUAUGUUAGUGCACCUCUUGAUUGGACAUAGUACGGCGUGAUAAGUGUCUUCGCCGGCUCCUCGCAAAGAGGGUGGCCGAUCGGGAGCUCUGUUGCUUCAAACUGUCUUCAGACAAUCUUCUGGCGACUUGACCUCAAAUCGAGUAGGACUACCCGCUGAACUUAAGCAUAUCAAUAAGCGGAGGA
RNAcentral lists this unclassified non-coding RNA (385 nucleotides) under soil metagenome. RNAcentral's name for it is "partial contains 5.8S ribosomal RNA, internal transcribed spacer 2, and large subunit ribosomal RNA". The stretch from base 1 to 120 matches the Rfam family "5.8S ribosomal RNA", at positions 35 to 154 of the family's 154-position model. The record is from RNAcentral.